This 447-nucleotide ribosomal RNA is filed under the name uncultured bacterium. RNAcentral's name for it is "bacterial SSU rRNA". It matches the Rfam family "Bacterial small subunit ribosomal RNA", at positions 329 to 792 of the family's 1533-position model. The record is from RNAcentral.
AACCAGACUCCUACGGGAGGCAGCAGUGGGGAAUAUUGCACAAUGGGGGGAACCCUGAUGCAGCGACGCCGCGUGAGUGAAGAAGUAUUUCGGUAUGUAAAGCUCUGUCAGCAGGGAAGAAGAAAGACGGUACCUGACCAAGAAGCCCCGGCUAACUACGUGCCAGCAGCCGCGGUAAUACGUAGGGGGCAAGCGUUAUCCGGAUUUACUGGGUGUAAAGGGAGCGCAGACGGCAGUGCAAGUCUGGAGUGAAAGCCCGGGGCCCAACCCCGGGACUGCUCUGGAAACUGUACGGCUAGAGUACGGGAGGGGCAGGCGGAAUUCCUAGUGUGGCGGUGAAAUGCGUAGAUAUUAGGAGGAACACCGGCGGCGAAGGCGGCCUGCUGGACCGAAACUGACGUUGAGGCUCGAAAGCGUGGGGAGCAAACAGGAUUAGAUACCCUAGUA